UUUGUGGAGUGAUUGAUUAAAACCCCAUUUGAUUUUGAUGAGCUCAAAGCAUUUGAGUAUAUCUUUUAAUUACUAAUGAAUUCAAUUAAGUGUUUCAGUGAAAAUCCUGUCUAAGUGUCCCAAGACUUGGUUCAUAAUUGUUGGAUAAGUUAAGGAGUCUGUUUGAACCAAUGUCUGAGACUCGAGUCGACUCCUGAGUAUCACGAGUCGACUCCAAGCGUAUCAAGUUCACUGGCACGNGCUCGAGUCGACUC
Molecule: long non-coding RNA, 254 nt
Filed under: Phoenix dactylifera (date palm)
Lineage: Eukaryota; Viridiplantae; Streptophyta; Magnoliopsida; Arecales; Arecaceae
Description: long non-coding RNA (PDAC_LNC009969)
Source: RNAcentral